This 83-nucleotide transfer RNA is filed under the name Schistocephalus solidus. It matches the Rfam family "tRNA". Rfam says of the family: Transfer RNA (tRNA) molecules are approximately 80 nucleotides in length. Their secondary structure includes four short double-helical elements and three loops (D, anti-codon, and T loops). Further hydrogen bonds mediate the characteristic L-shaped molecular structure. tRNAs have two regions of fundamental functional importance: the anti-codon, which is responsible for specific mRNA codon recognition, and the 3' end, to which the tRNAs corresponding amino acid is attached (by aminoacyl-tRNA synthetases). tRNAs cope with the degeneracy of the genetic code in two manners: having more than one tRNA (with a specific anti-codon) for a particular amino acid; and 'wobble' base-pairing, i.e. permitting non-standard base-pairing at the 3rd anti-codon position. Lineage: Eukaryota; Metazoa; Platyhelminthes; Cestoda; Diphyllobothriidea; Diphyllobothriidae. The record is from Rfam by way of RNAcentral.
GGCCUCGUAGCUUAAGUGGUUAGGGCGUUGGUUGUACUAAAGCCUACCCCUUGCUGCCGAGGGUUCGAAUCCCUCUGAGGCCG